Molecule: ribosomal RNA, 447 nt
Filed under: uncultured bacterium
Lineage: Bacteria
Description: partial 16S ribosomal RNA
Rfam family: Bacterial small subunit ribosomal RNA
Source: RNAcentral
AACGAACGCUGGCGGCAGGCUUAACACAUGCAAGUCGAACGCCCCGCAAGGGGAGUGGCAGACGGGUGAGUAACGCGUGGGAAUCUACCGUGCCCUGCGGAAUAGCUCCGGGAAACUGGAAUUAAUACCGCAUACGCCCUACGGGGGAAAGAUUUAUCGGGGUAUGAUGAGCCCGCGUUGGGUUAGCUAGUUGGUGGGGUAAAGGCCUACCAAGGCGACGAUCCAUAGCUGGUCUGAGAGGAUGAUCAGCCACAUUGGGACUGAGACACGGCCCAAACUCCUACGGGAGGCAGCAGUGGGGAAUAUUGGACAAUGGGCGCGAGCCUGAUCCAGCCAUGCCGCGUGAGUGAUGAAGGCCUUAGGGUUGUAAAGCUCUUUCACCGAUGAAGAUAAUGACGGUAGUCGGAGAAGAAGCCCCGGCUAACUUCGUGCCAGCCGCCGCAGUAA